Molecule: ribosomal RNA, 408 nt
Filed under: uncultured bacterium
Lineage: Bacteria
Description: partial 16S ribosomal RNA
Rfam family: Bacterial small subunit ribosomal RNA
Source: RNAcentral
GACGAACGCUGGCGGCGUGCUUAACACAUGCAAGUCGAACGAAGUGGCGAACGGGUGAGUAACGCGUGAUCAACCUGCCCUUCCGAGGGGGACAACAGUUGGAAACGACUGCUAAUCCCGCAAACUGACGGAGGGGAUUGCGUCCGAUUGGCUAGUUGGAGGGGUAACGGCCCACCAAGGCGAUGAUACGAAGCCGGUCUGAGAGGAUGAACGGCCACAUUGGGACUGAGACACGGCCCAGACGCCUACGGGAGGCAGCAGUGGGGAAUCUUCCGCAAUGGACGAAAGUCUGACGGAGCAACGCCGCGUGAGUGAUGACGGCCUUCGGGUUGUAAAGCUCUGUUAAUCGGGACGCGGUACCGGAAUAGAAAGCCACGGCUAACUACGUGCCAGCAGCCGCGGUAAUUC